CUCGUGCUCCGCAUCCCCUCCAGCAAUCGUCAGUCUCCAGUUUGUGCAUUCUGUGUAGUUUGAUUGGGGUAGUGUACCACCUAAACAUAGUUUUCCAAGCCUGCUCCUGAAGGGUGACACAUAUUGAGACUGUAGCAUUCGCCUCCCAUAUCUCCUGCCAUUCGACCCCCUCCAGAACCUCCCCGAGGUCGGUCUCCCAUUGGUCCGCGUAGGACAAUCUUUCCCAUUCUCCAUUUUCUU
This is a non-coding RNA of Pelobates cultripes (western spadefoot toad), 240 nucleotides long. Lineage: Eukaryota; Metazoa; Chordata; Amphibia; Anura; Pelobatidae. The record is from the annotation of a GenBank genome assembly.